This 455-nucleotide ribosomal RNA is filed under the name Halomonas sp. R-39097. RNAcentral's name for it is "bacterial SSU rRNA". It matches the Rfam family "Bacterial small subunit ribosomal RNA", at positions 19 to 490 of the family's 1533-position model. The record is from RNAcentral. Lineage: Bacteria; Pseudomonadati; Pseudomonadota; Gammaproteobacteria; Oceanospirillales; Halomonadaceae.
CUGGCUCAGAUUGAACGCUGGCGGCAGGCCUAACACAUGCAAGUCGAGCGGUAACAGAUCUAGCUUGCUAGAUGCUGACGAGCGGCGGACGGGUGAGUAAUGCAUAGGAAUUUACCCGAUAGUGGGGGAUAACCUGGGGAAACCCAGGCUAAUACCGCAUACGUCCUACGGGAGAAAGGGGGCUUUGGCUCCCGCUAUUGGAUGAGCCUAUGUCGGAUUAGCUAGUUGGUAGGGUAAUGGCCUACCAAGGCGACGAUCCGUAGCUGGUCUGAGAGGAUGAUCAGCCACAUCGGGACUGAGACACGGCCCGAACUCCUACGGGAGGCAGCAGUGGGGAAUAUUGGACAAUGGGGGCAACCCUGAUCCAGCCAUGCCGCGUGUGUGAAGAAGGCCCUCGGGUUGUAAAGCACUUUCAGCGRGGAAGAACGCCUGUCGGUUAAUACCCGGUAGGAAAG